CCUCCCUGACCCACGGGAUCCUACCGCCGAUGCUCGAGACUCGGAGAGCAGCCGACGGCGGUGGAUAAGGAGAUCCAAAGCGAGCCGCUGCCGACGGUGAUGUUUGUACUAUUGCUUCUAAUCAAUGGUAUGAACGAUUUAGAAAAUCACUUUGUAUUAUUGCCUCUAAUCAAUGGUAUGAAAGAUUUAGAAAAUCAACCUACACACGGACGCGGUGUUUUGGCUUUUAGGUGCAUAUGCACCCAUUGUCUAAAUACACAUUUUGAAAAGUUGAAAAAUUCGGAACAAAAAUCCUGGGGGUAUAUCGGGACAUUCUAUGUGCAUGCACAAAGUUUCGGGGAAAAACCAUGUAUUUUUGUGGCUCGUGUAAAAAAGAUAAAGAAAUGCAAAAUGAAUAGUUGUAAUGAAGCAUCAGAAAUUGUCUUUUUUACACAAGCCACAAAAAACCUCGUUUUCCACCGAAAAGUUUGUGCAUGCACAUAGAAUGUCCGGAUAUACAUGCGGGAUUUCUGUUCGGAAUUUUUCAACUUUUCAAAAUAUGUAUUUAGACAAUGGGUACAUAUACACCUAGGAGCCAUUGCCAAUUUCCGCCUACACUAUCGCUUUAUAGGAAACAAUAUGGUGAACACCCAGUUUAUUACAUCGUUUAUGUUUGUGCUUUAUCCUGAUUGUAGUUUCAGUCAUAGGUCACGCACGGCACUAUUUCUAAUAAAAGGUCAUGCUUCUAUAUGGUGUUUAUUUGCUAUGAUGUUUACUAUCGGUGGUACCUUUAGAUUGUUGACUAUAUUUGUUUUGUACUCUAUUCUUCUAGGGUGAAUUUUGCUGUGAUUUCCGUGUGUCCAUCCAAAGGAAGUAGAUGAUUGAUAGAGAUUCAGAGGGAGCAAUUGAUAUAGAGAGUUGUUGUGGUUCCUAUUUCUUCAGGUAGUUACUUUUCUUGCAGUUUCCUUUUAGUUACGAGCUUCCUCUGCAGUAUAGUCAUUUCUUUAUUUCAUUACCAGUCCCUGUUGACUACAAUGUAACCAUGCAUUGGCAGCAUAAAUUGCAGCAGUUCUUAAUCAGUUAGAAAAAAGCAACCUGAUCAAUCUUGCUUCAGAUUAUGUUUCUAUUGCUAUUGCGGCCUGAGGUCCAUCCCCGAUCGCCCCUCCUCUCAAGCCGCUACGGUGGCCUAUAUGUUUUAGCGGGUUCCGUCACGCCGGGCUGCCCCAGUCCCUGACCCAGGGUUUGGUGGGCGAGCUCACUACCAUCCUCCCAGUGGUCUUCUUCCUCGCUUGAUUCUUGGGCGCCCCAUCUAUUCUGGACGAGCACCUUCCAGUGGUGGGUGAGGAGAUCUGGCAUGAACCACGCGCCGAGAGGAGCUCAAUUUCUGCUGCCUCUGCACGCCCUAGGUAUAGCAGAUCCUACACCCUACUCUUUUUUUAUUUGUUUCAGUAGAGUAGGAUGAACACCCGCAGCUCAGUCUGGGUUCGUAAAUUGUGUUUUCCUCUCCAAUAUGCUCUCUUUAUGCUUCAACUGUUAUGUUUGACCAUCACUCAUGUAUAUGCACUGCCUGUUAUUCCUAGAUUUUGUUAGCUCCAGUCUGCAACUACCCAUACAUGAUAAGAACAAUUAGAUAAAUGUUGCAUGGCAUGUCAAUAGCUUGGCCAAUCCAUUGUCUAUUUGUCUUCUUUAGACCACAUUGCAUUGUUCGCUCCAGUUUGUUGCCUAUUGUUCGUGUCAAACUCUUGCUCCGAUUUUACAUGGUCUAAUUAGUGUUCUAUAGAGAACAAUGCUUUUGGGUUAUGACUAAUCUUUCAAUUGUUUAGGUGGUGGAAAUUCACAUUCUUUUUCAAAAGCAUAUUUAGUUCGUUUAUCCUACAUUAUCUAUGACAAGUCGAUAAAAGAUGUAUAUGUUAUUUGUUCUUGCUCAUGCUCUUUUCUUUUAUCUGUUCAGGCCUAAUCUCACCAAUCUUUGCUACACUUCACAUCAUGAGGGAAGGAGGGUAAGUAAGUAAAUUGGCGACAACCUAUCAUAUUCCUUUAAGUCUUACUGAGUCCGAAUUUGAAGCAGUGUAGUAUCCCAUCAUUCCGUCAGCCAGACAUUGAACUCACUGUGGACUCAAUCAAAAGUAUUUGAAUUUCUCAUAUAUUAGUUAUUAAAACAAUCAGUGGUGUAGUAUCCAAUCAUUCUAUUAGCCAAACAUUGAACUGGUCGUGGAUUUGGUCAGAAGUAUUUGAAUUUCUCAUAUAAUCUUGUGCUUUUUACUUUUUUCUGACUAUGUUACGAAAAGGACCAGUAAUAACUAAUGUGAUUUGAAAACACAUAAGAUCUCAUGAGUUAGGAUGGACAUAACCAUGCCCUCUGAAACAGUCACCAAACUUUAAGGAAGUUUGUAUAUGUGUCUUCAUUUUUAAGGAUUAGGAGGACCACCUAUCACCCACUGUCCAAAACCUUUCAUAGGGGGUCAGUGCAUGAAUUGUUUUCUUGCUAUACAUACACACACUAUAUGCAUAAUUUGGCUAACACGAGAUGUCUUUCAACAGAUGCGUCCAUCGCAACACUCAAGCAAAUCAGAUGACAAGGUGUUUGGAGCAAGCUACUCAUAGCCAACUACAUAGUUUAGUACAAUGCUGUAUUAAAGCAGUGUAAAUAAAUAACUUAUAUGGCCUACUUUUGGUAUAUAGUACCGAACCUUGAUCUUUAGGUAUUUCACGCUACAAUUGUUAACAAAUGCACCAAUGGUUUGUAACGAGAUUUGAUGUUUUUAGUUGGACCAUUACUGUUGUAAGUAAAUAUCAUCUUCUGCUUUUUGAGUAAUACUAUCAGGUGUUGGGUUGUUAGACUGAAUAAAUAUAUACCAUAUGUUGGAUCGUUAAACAUUCCAAGGUAUCUAUUGUAUAUUACCGGAUUAGCUAAAACGGGACCCGGAGGGGUGCG
RNAcentral lists this long non-coding RNA (2914 nucleotides) under Triticum aestivum (bread wheat). RNAcentral describes it as "long non-coding RNA (TAES_LNC013127)". The record is from RNAcentral. Lineage: Eukaryota; Viridiplantae; Streptophyta; Magnoliopsida; Poales; Poaceae.